This 507-nucleotide ribosomal RNA is filed under the name Parahaemophilus parainfluenzae. Its description in RNAcentral is "Haemophilus parainfluenzae bacterial SSU rRNA". It matches the Rfam family "Bacterial small subunit ribosomal RNA", at positions 30 to 523 of the family's 1533-position model. Lineage: Bacteria; Pseudomonadati; Pseudomonadota; Gammaproteobacteria; Pasteurellales; Pasteurellaceae. The record is from RNAcentral.
AUUGAACGCUGGCGGCAGGCUUAACACAUGCAAGUCGAACGGUAACAUAAAGAAGCUUGCUUCUUUGAUGACGAGUGGCGGACGGGUGAGUAAUGCUUGGGAAUCUAGCUUAUGGAGGGGGAUAACUACGGGAAACUGUAGCUAAUACCGCGUAGAAUCGGGAGAUGAAAGUGUGGGACCUUCGGGCCACAUGCCAUAGGAUGAGCCCAAGUGGGAUUAGGUAGUUGGUGAGGUAAAGGCUCACCAAGCCGACGAUCUCUAGCUGGUCUGAGAGGAUGACCAGCCACACUGGGACUGAGACACGGCCCAGACUCCUACGGGAGGCAGCUGUGGGGAAUAUUGCGCAAUGGGGGCAACCCUGACGCAGCCAUGCCGCGUGAAUGAAGAAGGCCUUCGGGUUGUAAAUUUCUUUCCGUAGCGAGGAAGGCAUUUAGUUUUAUAAACUGGAUGAUUGAGGUUAACUACACAAGAAGCCCCGGCUUAACUCCGUGCCAGCAGCCUCGGGUA